Molecule: long non-coding RNA, 1166 nt
Organism: Carassius gibelio (silver crucian carp)
Lineage: Eukaryota; Metazoa; Chordata; Actinopteri; Cypriniformes; Cyprinidae
Exons: 3
Source: RefSeq, a predicted model, not a curated record
CUCCACUCCAGCGUUUCGAAUCAGCUCUCGAUUACCAACACUUGUUUCGGUACUUGCACGGUACAUACUGGAGCACGAGUAAACAGAUCAUCUCUUCAUCCUACUGUUAUUACUUAAGCGCGAAAAAAACACCACAAGAAACGGAGGACUAGCUGAAUGUGUGUGCAUGCAGGGAGGAAAGACAUCGAUUUCUCUCUGAGCUCACACAGUCUGCCCACAGGCUGCGGGGCAAUGCCCACGCCAAUCAGGACCUUUCACCAUCAUCACAGCCACACAGACCACACGAAACAACACGGGAUGAGAAAGAGACUGAGAAGAAAGGCGAUAUCUGUUCAACUCCCAGCUCUCAAACACCCUGCAAGUAGGUCAGUGCGGGUGAAUAAUUUAGAUCCCUGACGUUACAGUGCUGGUUUGUGUGCUGCUGCUGGAAGGCUGGGAGACAUGGAGGUAAUGUAUUGCAGCAGGAGUGCACAACAGAGCCCUUGCUAAAGGCCAGCAGCGGCAUGUGUCUGCCUGACUCGAGAGAGAGAGAGAGACCGAAUAAUAACACUGAGGUCCUGGGAGCCACGGGCCGAUGCGUGAAGUCAUCCAAACCACUAGAUCUCUCACUCUACGAGCUGACAUGGAAGGGAUGAAAGACCACAGCUAUCAUAUACAUAGAGAUUAGUAGUCAACUGAAAUUUUGUUAUGCUUUUGAUAUAAAAUGGGUGGGGGAAGGUACAGUCUUUAUAAUGCAUUGGGUUUAGCGAGAGACAACUUAGACUCAAUGUUCCUUUUCUUGACAUGAACACAGAGAGAAAAAAGGGAGCUCUAGAACAGGGAUGAAGGAGUGAGAUAAAGGUGUGGGAUAACGGUUAAAGAUGUCAGCAGGAAACUGAAAACACAUGGAGAUCCAUGAGGUAUCACCAUUGUGCCGGAACAAUCAUCUCAAGUUGCAAGUAAAGCUUGGCAACAUAUAUUGAAUUUUCACAACAUAUACUACUGUUCAAAGUCUUAGGGUUGGAAAGAUUUUUCAAUAUUUUUGAAAAAAAUCCCUUAUGCUCACCCAGGCUGAAUUAAUUUGAUCAAAAAUCAGGAAAACAGUAAUAAUGUGAAUAUUACAAUUUAAAAUGAUUUAUUUUUAAAAUAUUUUAAAAGGUUAUGUAUUCCUUUAGUCUACAGUGUCU